This 1152-nucleotide long non-coding RNA is filed under the name Sus scrofa (pig). RNAcentral's name for it is "lncRNA (ENSSSCG00045013342.1)". The record is from RNAcentral. Lineage: Eukaryota; Metazoa; Chordata; Mammalia; Artiodactyla; Suidae.
AUGAAGCUGGGUGGCCUCUGCCUCCUGCUCCUCCUCGCCGUCCUUCUCACCCUCAAUGCAGAGUUCCAAGCAGUUGAUGUAGGUAUCUGUGUGACGGAGUGCAAGGUAGACCAGGACUGUGGGGCAGGAAGACGAUGCACCAGCAAUGGAUGUGGCCGGGUCUGCUCCCCAGUCCGGCGAAGAGAGGCCUGCGAGCACCAGUGCAGAGAAGACAGGGACUGUGGGAGUGGACAUCAGUGCGUGAGGAAGGGCUGUGGGCACGUCUGCGCCCCCGUCCAUCAAGUCGAUGUAGGUAUCUGUGUGAUGGAGUGCCGUGUAGACCAGGACUGUGGGGAAGGAAGACUAUGCAUCAGUAAUGGGUGUGGCCGUGUCUGCUUCCCAGUCCGGCGAAGAGAUGUAGGUAUCUGUGUGACGGAGUGCCGUGUAGACCAGGACUGUGGGGAAGGAAGACUAUGCAUCAGUAAUGGGUGUGGCCGUGUCUGCUUCCCAGGGCGAAGAGAGGCCUGCGAGCACCAGUGCAGAGAAGACAGGGACUGUGGGAGUGGACAUCAGUGCGUGAGGAAGGGCUGUGGGCACGUCUGCGCCCCCGUCCAUCAAGUCGAUGUAGGUAUCUGUGUGAUGGAGUGCAAGGUAGACCAGGACUGUGGGGAAGGAAGAAGAUGCACCAGCAAUGGGUGUGGCCGUGUCUGCUCCCCAGUCCAGCAAAAAGAGGCCUGCGAGCACCAGUGCAGAGAAGACAGGGACUGUGGGAGUGGACAUCAGUGCGUGAGGAAGGGCUGUGGGCACGUCUGCGCCCCCGUCCAUCAAGUCGAUGUAGGUAUCUGUGUGACGGAGUGCCGUGUAGACCAGGACUGUGGGGAAGGAAGACAAUGCACCAGCAAUGGAUGUGGCCGUGUCUGCUCCCCAGCCCAGCAAAGAGAGGCCUGCGAGCACCAAUGCAGAGAAGACAAGGACUGUGGGAGUGGACAUCAGUGCGUGAGGAAGGGCUGUGGGCACGUCUGCUCCCCCAUCCCUCAAGUAGGUAUCUGUGUGACGGAGUGCAAUGUAGACCAGGACUGUGGGGCAGGAAGACGAUGCACCAGCAAUGGAUGUGGCCGUGUCUGCUCCCCACCCCAGGGAGGAGGUAAGGCCGAGAGCCCUCUGGGCACUUGA